RNAcentral lists this ribosomal RNA (506 nucleotides) under uncultured bacterium. RNAcentral's name for it is "partial 16S ribosomal RNA". It matches the Rfam family "Bacterial small subunit ribosomal RNA", at positions 29 to 523 of the family's 1533-position model. The record is from RNAcentral.
AGUGAACGCUGGCGGUAGGCCUAACACAUGCAAGUCGAACGGCAGCACAGAGGAGCUUGCUCCUUGGGUGGCGAGUGGCGGACGGGUGAGGAAUACAUCGGAAUCUACUCUGUCGUGGGGGAUAACGUAGGGAAACUUACGCUAAUACCGCAUACGACCUACGGGUGAAAGCAGGGGAUCUUCGGACCUUGCGCGAUUGAAUGAGCCGAUGUCGGAUUAGCUAGUUGGCGGGGUAAAGGCCCACCAAGGCGACGAUCCGUAGCUGGUCUGAGAGGAUGAUCAGCCACACUGGAACUGAGACACGGUCCAGACUCCUACGGGAGGCAGCAGUGGGGAAUAUUGGACAAUGGGCGCAAGCCUGAUCCAGCCAUACCGCGUGGGUGAAGAAGGCCUUCGGGUUGUAAAGCCCUUUUGUUGGGAAGGAAAUCCAGCCGGCUAAUACCUGGUUGGGAUGACGGUACCCAAAGAAUAAGCACCGGCUAACUUCGUGCCAGCAGCCGCAGUAA